UACGGAGGAUCCGAGCGUUAUCCGGAUUUAUUGGGUUUAAAGGGAGCGUAGGUGGAUUGUUAAGUCAGUUGUGAAAGUUUGCGGCUCAACCGUAAAAUUGCAGUUGAAACUGUAGUUCUUGAGUACUGGAGAGGCAGACGGAAUUCCUAGUGUAGCGGUGAAAUGCGUAGAUAUUAGGAGGAACACCAGUGGCGGAGGCGGCUUACUGGACGGUAACUGACGCUGAGGCUCGAAAGCGUGGGGAGCAAACAGG
RNAcentral lists this ribosomal RNA (253 nucleotides) under uncultured bacterium. RNAcentral's name for it is "partial 16S ribosomal RNA". It matches the Rfam family "Bacterial small subunit ribosomal RNA", at positions 524 to 776 of the family's 1533-position model. The record is from RNAcentral.